RNAcentral lists this ribosomal RNA (450 nucleotides) under uncultured bacterium. RNAcentral's name for it is "bacterial SSU rRNA". It matches the Rfam family "Bacterial small subunit ribosomal RNA", at positions 354 to 796 of the family's 1533-position model. The record is from RNAcentral.
GUGGGGAAUAUUGGACAAUGGGCGAAAGCCUGAUCCAGCCAUGCCGCGUGUGUGAAGAAGGUCUUCGGAUUGUAAAGCACUUUAAGUUGGGAGGAAGGGCAGUAAGUUAAUACCUUGCUGUUUUGACGUUACCGACAGAAUAAGCACCGGCUAACUUCGUGCCAGCAGCCGCGGUAAUACGAAGGGUGCAAGCGUUAAUCGGAAUUACUGGGCGUAAAGCGCGCGUAGGUGGUUUUGUAAGUUGGAGGUGAAAUCCCCGGGCUCAACCUGGGAACUGCCUCCAAAACUGCAUGACUAGAGUACGGUAGAGGGUAGUGGAAUGUCCUGUGUAGCGGUGAAAUGCGUAGAUAUAGGAAGGAACACCAGUGGCGAAGGCGACUACCUGGACUGAUACUGACACUGAGGUGCGAAAGCGUGGGGAGCAAACAGGAUUAGAAACCCGAGUAGUCC